ACUCUCUUAGUAUUAUUAGUACAAUUGACUUCCAAUCAAUCAGUCUCAGUAAAACCUGAGAGAGAGUA
Molecule: transfer RNA, 68 nt
Filed under: Crocidura wuchihensis
Lineage: Eukaryota; Metazoa; Chordata; Mammalia; Eulipotyphla; Soricidae
Description: tRNA-Gly
Rfam family: tRNA
About the family: Transfer RNA (tRNA) molecules are approximately 80 nucleotides in length. Their secondary structure includes four short double-helical elements and three loops (D, anti-codon, and T loops).
Source: RNAcentral